Molecule: ribosomal RNA, 460 nt
Filed under: uncultured bacterium
Lineage: Bacteria
Description: partial 16S ribosomal RNA
Rfam family: Bacterial small subunit ribosomal RNA
Source: RNAcentral
CCUACGGGUGGCAGCAGUGAGGAAUAUUGGUCAAUGGGCGCUAGCCUGAACCAGCCAAGUCGCGUGCAGGAUGACUGCCCUAUGGGUUGUAAACUUCUUUUAUAUGGGAAUAAAGUGCAAUAUGUAUACUUCUUUGCAUGUACCUUAUGAAUAAGGAUCGGCUAACUCCGUGCCAGCAGCCGCGGUAAUACGGAGGAUCCGAGCGUUAUCCGGAUUUAUUGGGUUUAAAGGGUGCGUAGGCGGUUGGUUAAGUUAGGUGUGAAAGUUUGCGGCUCAACGGUAAAAUUGCAUUUGAUACUGGCAGCCUUGAGUGCAGUAGAGGUAGGCGGAAUGUGUGGUGUAGCGGUGAAAUGCUUAGAGAUCACGAAGAACUCCGAUUGCGAAGGCAGCUUGCUAGACUGUAACUGACGCUGAUGCUCGAAAGUGUGGGGAGCAAACAGGAUUAGAUACCCGGGUAGUC